Molecule: microRNA precursor, 174 nt
Filed under: Paramuricea clavata
Lineage: Eukaryota; Metazoa; Cnidaria; Anthozoa; Malacalcyonacea; Plexauridae
Source: RNAcentral
GUUGCAAGUUGAUAUCGACAGGUGUGAACAAUGUUGUGCGGCCCACUGUGAACAGUAUUGUCAACAUGUUGUUGCAGCAUUGUUCAACUGUAACAACUUGGAACAACAUGGUUGACAACUUGUUCAUAGUUGGCCGCACAACAUUGUUCACGCCUGUCGAUAUCAACUUGCAAC